This 439-nucleotide ribosomal RNA is filed under the name Candidatus Giovannonibacteria bacterium RIFCSPLOWO2_01_FULL_44_40. RNAcentral's name for it is "bacterial LSU rRNA". It matches the Rfam family "Bacterial large subunit ribosomal RNA", at positions 2040 to 2477 of the family's 2925-position model. Lineage: Bacteria; Candidatus Giovannoniibacteriota. The record is from RNAcentral.
AAAUGCGAUACCGGUGAAGAUGCCGGUUAAGUGCAGUUAGACGAAAAGACCCCGGAAGCUUUACUGUAAGUUGUUAUUGGCUUUAUGUUUUGGAUACGUAGCGUAGUGGGGAGGCUUUGAAGUUCCGCUCUCGGGCGGGAUGGAGCCGCCAAUGAAACACCCAUUUUUUAAAAUGUAAAAUCUAACCUGACACGCCAAACGUGCCGGGGACAGUAGCUGCUGGGCAGUUUGUGUGGGGCGCAAGCCUCCUAAAAAGUAACGGAGGCGUUUAUUAAGGUCGGCUUGGCGCGGAUGGACAUCGCGCUGGACCUGUAAGAGGAAAAGCCGGCUUGACUGGAAGGGGGACAUCCCGACCAGAUGGGAAACCAGAAUCUAGUGAACCGACCGUCGGCACUCGAUGCCGCGGAAGAUUAACGGAUAAAAGCUACUCCGGGGAUAA